RNAcentral lists this small RNA (468 nucleotides) under Fusarium oxysporum f. sp. phaseoli. Its description in RNAcentral is "eukaryotic LSU rRNA". The stretch from base 116 to 269 matches the Rfam family "5.8S ribosomal RNA". The record is from RNAcentral. Lineage: Eukaryota; Fungi; Ascomycota; Sordariomycetes; Hypocreales; Nectriaceae.
ACCACUUGUUGCCUCGGCGGAUCAGCCCGCUCCCGGUAAAACGGGACGGCCCGCCAGAGGACCCCUAAACUCUGUUUCUAUAUGUAACUUCUGAGUAAAACCAUAAAUAAAUCAAAACUUUCAACAACGGAUCUCUUGGUUCUGGCAUCGAUGAAGAACGCAGCAAAAUGCGAUAAGUAAUGUGAAUUGCAGAAUUCAGUGAAUCAUCGAAUCUUUGAACGCACAUUGCGCCCGCCAGUAUUCUGGCGGGCAUGCCUGUUCGAGCGUCAUUUCAACCCUCAAGCACAGCUUGGUGUUGGGACUCGCGUUAAUUCGCGUUCCUCAAAUUGAUUGGCGGUCACGUCGAGCUUCCAUAGCGUAGUAGUAAAACCCUCGUUACUGGUAAUCGUCGCGGCCACGCCGUUAAACCCCAACUUCUGAAUGUUGACCUCGGAUCAGGUAGGAAUACCCGCUGAACUUAAGCAUAUC